RNAcentral lists this non-coding RNA (119 nucleotides) under Vibrio palustris. Its description in RNAcentral is "S15". It matches the Rfam family "Ribosomal S15 leader". Rfam says of the family: The E. coli Ribosomal S15 gene 5' UTR can form two alternative structures. One that is a series of three hairpins, The other includes a pseudoknot. This structure causes translational regulation of the S15 protein. Lineage: Bacteria; Pseudomonadati; Pseudomonadota; Gammaproteobacteria; Vibrionales; Vibrionaceae. The record is from RNAcentral.
CGUAUCGGCUGAAUCAGAGAUUGGCUGGUACAUUUGUUUAUAUUAACUCUUAGGAGAGUAUUAUGUCUCUGAAUGCAGAAACUAAAGCAGCUAUCGUUGCAGAAUAUGCACGUGAAGAA